GACGAACGCUGGCGGCGUGCUUAACACAUGCAAGUCGAACGGAAAGGCCCUGCUUUUGUGGGGUGCUCGAGUGGCGAACGGGUGAGUAACACGUGAGUAACCUGCCCUUGACUUUGGGAUAACUUCAGGAAACUGGGGCUAAUACCGGAUAGGAUCUCCUGCUGCAUGGUGGGGGUUGGAAAGUUUCGGCGGUUGGGGAUGGACUCGCGGCUUAUCAGCUUGUUGGUGGGGUAGUGGCUUACCAAGGCUUUGACGGGUAGCCGGCCUGAGAGGGGGACCGGCGACAUUGGGACUGAGAUACGGCCCAGACUGCUACGGGAGGCAGCAGUGGGGAAUAUUGCACAAUGGGCGGAAGCGUGAUGCAGAAACGCCGCGUGCGGGAUGACGGCCUUCGGGUUGUAAACCGCUUUCGCCUGUGACGAAGAGUGAGUGACGGUAAUGGGUAAAGAAGCACCGGCUAACUACGUG
RNAcentral lists this ribosomal RNA (468 nucleotides) under uncultured bacterium. Its description in RNAcentral is "partial 16S ribosomal RNA". It matches the Rfam family "Bacterial small subunit ribosomal RNA", at positions 28 to 507 of the family's 1533-position model. The record is from RNAcentral.